GGGCUAGCAAAGGGCGAGUGGAGGGACUGGAUGAGGGGAAGAGGCCGACGAAUCUGUUCUUAUUGGAGAGGAGCAGUAGCGCAUUGCUCUGAACUAGAGCUGGAAAGGCCAUUCUUCGAGCUGGAGUUCCAUUCUUCUUGAUAGAGAGGGUUUUUGAAGGGGUUAAAUGGGUGAUCAUCAAAACCAUAGAAUACUAAUGGUUUCGGAUUUUUUCUAUCCCAACUUUGGUGGUGUGGAGAGCCACAUAUAUUAUCUCUCACAAUGCCUGCUGAAGUUAGGUCACAAGGUGGUGGUUGCAACACAUGUGUAUGGAAAUCGUUCUGGGAUUAGAUAUAUGACUGGAGGCCUGAAAGUCUACUACGUACCAUGGAGGCCAUUCUUUAUGCAAAAUACACUACCAACAAUGUACGGGUUACUGCCAAUUAUAAGGACUAUCCUCAUUCGAGAAAGAAUAACCAUGGUGCAUGGACAUCAAGCGUUUUCAACAUUUUGUCAUGAAGCUCUUGUGCAUGCAAGAACCAUGGGAUACAAGGUUGUGUUUACAGAUCAUUCGCUGUAUGGCUUUGCUGACAUUGGAAGCAUUCAUAUGAACAAGGUCUUGCAGUUCACCUUGGCAGAUUUGAGUCAAGCCAUAUGUGUUUCACAUACGAGCAAAGAAAAUACUGUGUUGAGGUCGGGCUUGCCACCAGAAAAGGUUUUCGUUAUACCUAAUGCUGUUGAUACUGCCAUGUUCAAGCCAGCAGAUGAGCGUCCCAGCAUAGAGGAAAUUGUGAUUGUUGUUAUAAGUCGAUUGGUUUACCGGAAGGGUGCUGAUUUGCUUGUUGAAGUUAUUCCAGAAGUAUGCCGCUUACAUCCCAAUGUCCGUUUCGUUAUUGGUGGGGAUGGAGCAAAGCGGGUGCGGUUGGAAGAGAUGAGAGAAAAGCAUUCUCUUCAAGAUCGAGUUGAAAUGUUGGGAGCUGUGCCGCAUGACCAAGUUCGUUCUGUUCUAAUAUCUGGACAUAUCUUCUUAAACAGUUCCUUAACAGAGGCAUUUUGCAUAGCUAUAUUAGAGGCUGCUAGUUGUGGAUUGUUAACAGUUAGCACACGUGUUGGAGGUGUUCCUGAGGUUUUGCCAGAAGACAUGAUUGUUUUGGCGGAACCUGAUCCUAGUGCCAUGGUACAAGCGAUUGGUAAAGGAAUCUCUAUGUUGCCAGAGAUUGAUCCACAAGUGAUGCACAAGCGGAUGAGGGAGCUCUACAAUUGGCAUGAUGUUGCCAAAAGGACUGAGAUUGUAUAUGACCAUGCUCUAAAGUGCUAUAAUCAGAAUCUGCUGGAACGUCUUUCACGGGCAUCACAAGGAAACACCAGGCAAAAAGUCAUUUCAUAAACCACCUCACUACAUUAUCCUUUGAGUGUAUGGAUGUGAAUGCUUCUCCUAUUCGAGGGUCUAUAAUACUCCCUAGCAGACGUCAGAUAGGCUUCAUCUGUAUUAAUUUGGUACAUGCGACGAUAUUGAGGGUAGACUUACGUUGAUAUGUCACAUAUACGUGUCAUGUCAUGUGAUCUUCAAUGAAGACGCCUUUCCUAGCUAGACUCAACAUGUACUUAAACUAUUCAUGAUAUCAGUUCAUGUGGUCUUCUACCAUCUUUAUGUUAUCAAUGCUCACCACACCUCCAUGUACAUGGUCUUCUGUUAAACAUAUUUUGCCAUCAUAUUGUGGAAGCAAUGACCGUGGAGUACCUUUGUCGAAGUCACUCUCUGUGGUUCCUACUUCUUCUGCCUCUAGAGCAGAAACUACACCUAUAGGCACUAAGGAGCAUAUGUUGGAUGCAGUUGCUGCCUCUUAAAUCUAAUUCAUCGUUUGGUUGUUUGGUCAAAGGUAGGUAUUUCUGCUAAUGAAGGUUAAUCCUGUUCGUACCCUGCAGUGGCCUAAGUUUCAACCUUAUUGUCAAUAUGAGGUUUUUCAUGGAUAAUUGCCGGUACCUUUUGUAAGUUCUUUUGAGCCAUGAGGAGUUUCUGGUACCCAAUUCGUUGAAGCUUUUAUUUACCAAAACAAAGAAGUUCUUUUGAGCCAUGAGGAGUUUCUAAUACCAAUACAUUUUGCUACACACGCUGAUUCAUUUCUAUCUUGUUUUCACUAACACAGUUUGAUCCCAAGUGUGUAGCAACAGGCAAGGAAGAGUAUGACACUUUUAAGUUUAGCUCGGAAGCUUGUUUCAUUGCCAUUAGAUGGGAAACCUAUUGGGUGCAUAUGGAUAUCUAAAUCUAAAUUUAGUUACAAUGCAUGUUGAUGGUACUAUAGCAAGGAAUAGUGCAUUUUUUUUAGCAAAAGGUACUUGCAAGAGUCUGGCGCAAACUAGACAAAUAUAUUUGUCCUGUCGUAAAACUACUCACAGUCAGGACUCUUCUCACUAUACCUGUGACUCACCAUCGGAGAUUGCAUUAGAUUGUGGGCUUUAACAAUGUUUUUCUCAAUGUUGAUCUACUUGAAGAAUUGUUCAUGGAUACCAGGAUUUGAGCGUCCCUACUACUGAUACCUCAAUUGUUAAUCUCUUCCUGGGCAGAUCAUUGCCAUUCAUCUAGCAGUCCCAUGGCAGCAUCAUCUAUCUUGUAUCUGUGGAUGAUCUGGUUAUUACUAGCAGCGAUGAGGUUUGGAGACUGGAAUCCUCAUAUGGAAGAAAUACAAUCACGAAUGGCCAGAUAAAACUUCUAUGCUUCCUGACUAGCCUUUUCCCACCCCUAUGACAUGAAAUACUUAACUAUCAAUAAAUGCUUGUCAAUUGUCAUGUCUUCUUGGAUGUUGAGCUAUAUAGGAGCAUUUAGGGGCAUUGCAAUGUGUUACACAAGACCUGGCAUUGCUUGUACUGUUAAUUGGCUUAGUCAAGACAAACUCCCUAGGGCACUCAUUCGAAGAGAGUUUUGAAGUAAUUUAAUAUUACUCAGUCUGAUGCAGAUUGGGAGAGCGACAUGGCUGGUAGGUGAUCAACAAGGGGUUUUUCAACAUUUCCUGGUUGUAAUUCUAUCGCUUGGACUUCUAGAAAGCAUCAUGUGAUUUUGGAUUCACAACUGAGGUUAAAUACCCAAGUUUGGUGGAUGCUAUCAUUUAUGCAAUGUGGGUAGCUCUUUUAAACGAGAUGCGAAUUCCUCUGAUGGAUGCACCAUCUACAUGGUGUGAUAUAACUCAAGAACUGUGGCUUUAGCUGCCAAUCCUUUGUUGGACACUAAGACCAAGAAGUGGAUCUAAAUUUGCAUUUUACCAGAGAAAAGGGACAGAUGGAAUAUUACAAGUUAACCAAGUUUUUCUACAGAUCAGAUGAAGAUGGCCCUUAGAUAUAGAUAGGUUUUGUUUCACUGGAGGAUUUUACUAUCACUAACGAAUCUUUUUCUGGUGGAAUUGCUAUGAAGCUGAGAGUUGUCUGUGUUAUAGUCUUGUAAUCUUCUGUUUUGGCUUGCUGUUGCCAGACUUGUCCCCUUGCUACUUUUCUGUUGUGCCCCCUCCCCUCAGUUUUCUUUCUUUCCUUUUUCUUUUGGCCUUUUUUUUUUUUUUUUUUUUUGGGAGGGCGUAUAAUUCAGGUUGGAAUAUUCAUAAAUCUGCUAUUGUCUAAUUCUCUGUUGCUAGCAGAUUGAUUUAUGGUUUGGGAAGGGCAGGAGUCUGAUUAUAUUUAUAAAUUUCCUCUUCUUUGAAAGAAAUAUUGCUGCCAUA
This is an RNA transcript of Neltuma alba, 3683 nucleotides long. It is a transcript of the gene named phosphatidylinositol N-acetylglucosaminyltransferase subunit A, with no coding region annotated. The transcript is spliced from 10 exons. The record is from RefSeq and is a predicted model, not a curated record. Lineage: Eukaryota; Viridiplantae; Streptophyta; Magnoliopsida; Fabales; Fabaceae.